Molecule: long non-coding RNA, 324 nt
Organism: Lampris incognitus (smalleye Pacific opah)
Lineage: Eukaryota; Metazoa; Chordata; Actinopteri; Lampriformes; Lampridae
Exons: 3
Source: RefSeq, a predicted model, not a curated record
AAGAACAGCUAUUUUUUAGGAUACCUUUUUCCAUCAGCAGGGCAUCUGCACACAUCUUAUGCCAUUCGUAGCAUCGUUGGCCAAGCCCCUUGAGGAACUAUGGAUCAGCCGACCAUGAUAAUAAAUUAAGGCUGGCCAGCAACAAUGUCUCUGACGCCAACCACGUCCUGAGCCGUGAUACAAAUCGUUACCACCAAACCGGAGAUACAGGGUUCCACGAUUUAUAACAAGAUGGAGCUGUAGUGAUGCCAGAACAUUUCCAGGCUUGAUCUGACAAUAAAUAUCAUCAUCAUCAUCAUCAUCAUCAUCAUCAUCAUCAUCAUC